This 1370-nucleotide ribosomal RNA is filed under the name uncultured bacterium. Its description in RNAcentral is "bacterial SSU rRNA". It matches the Rfam family "Bacterial small subunit ribosomal RNA", at positions 28 to 1381 of the family's 1533-position model. The record is from RNAcentral.
GAUGAACGCUGGCGGCGUGCCUAAUACAUGCAAGUCGAGCGAACGGACGAGAAGCUUGCUUCUCUGAUGUUAGCGGCGGACGGGUGAGUAACACGUGGAUAACCUACCUAUAAGACUGGGAUAACUUCGGGAAACCGGAGCUAAUACCGGAUAAUAUUUUGAACCGCAUGGUUCAAAAGUGAAAGACGGUCUUGCUGUCACUUAUAGAUGGAUCCGCGCUGCAUUAGCUAGUUGGUAAGGUAACGGCUUACCAAGGCAACGAUGCAUAGCCGACCUGAGAGGGUGAUCGGCCACACUGGAACUGAGACACGGUCCAGACUCCUACGGGAGGCAGCAGUAGGGAAUCUUCCGCAAUGGGCGAAAGCCUGACGGAGCAACGCCGCGUGAGUGAUGAAGGUCUUCGGAUCGUAAAACUCUGUUAUUAGGGAAGAACAUAUGUGUAAGUAACUGUGCACAUCUUGACGGUACCUAAUCAGAAAGCCACGGCUAACUACGUGCCAGCAGCCGCGGUAAUACGUAAGUGGCAAGCGUUAUCCGGAAUUAUUGGGCGUAAAGCGCGCGUAGGCGGUUUUUAGUCUGAUGUGAAAGCCCACGGCUCAACCGUGGAGGGUCAUUGGAAACUGGAAAACUUGAGUGCAGAAGAGGAAAGUGGAAUUCCAUGUGUAGCGGUGAAAUGCGCAGAGAUAUGGAGGAACACCAGUGGCGAAGGCGACUUUCUGGUCUGUAACUGACGCUGAUGUGCGAAAGCGUGGGGAUCAAACAGGAUUAGAUACCCUGGUAGUCCACGCCGUAAACGAUGAGUGCUAAGUGUUAGGGGGUUUCCGCCCCUUAGUGCUGCAGCUAACGCAUUAAGCACUCCGCCUGGGGAGUACGACCGCAAGGUUGAAACUCAAAGGAAUUGACGGGGACCCGCACAAGCGGUGGAGCAUGUGGUUUAAUUCGAAGCAACGCGAAGAACCUUACCAAAUCUUGACAUCCUUUGACAACUCUAGAGAUAGAGCUUUCCCCUUCGGGGGACAAAGUGACAGGUGGUGCAUGGUUGUCGUCAGCUCGUGUCGUGAGAUGUUGGGUUAAGUCCCGCAACGAGCGCAACCCUUAAGCUUAGUUGCCAUCAUUAAGUUGGGCACUCUAAGUUGACUGCCGGUGACAAACCGGAGGAAGGUGGGGAUGACGUCAAAUCAUCAUGCCCCUUAUGAUUUGGGCUACACACGUGCUACAAUGGACAAUACAAAGGGCAGCGAAACCGCGAGGUCAAGCAAAUCCCAUAAAGUUGUUCUCAGUUCGGAUUGUAGUCUGCAACUCGACUACAUGAAGCUGGAAUCGCUAGUAAUCGUAGAUCAGCAUGCUACGGUGAAUACGUUCCCGGGUCU